Molecule: long non-coding RNA, 3013 nt
Filed under: Marmota monax (woodchuck)
Lineage: Eukaryota; Metazoa; Chordata; Mammalia; Rodentia; Sciuridae
Source: RNAcentral
GUACAGGAGUCCUGUGGAUGGGCAUGGGUCCAGUCCACCAAGCCCGUGGUGACCCAACCUGAGGACUGAUAGCUCUCCUCUUUCCACACAGAUGCCCUGAAGUGUCCACGCAGAAGCCCAGUGAGGAAGGGAAAUCUAACUCCUCAGAGCCCCAGGUGAGGCUGGCCUCCCUGUCCUUCCUGCACCAACACUCUCUGGGGAUGUGACUGCGAGGGAUCCAGUUCUGGCCCCACCAGACGUGGCCCCCUGAUUGGACAGUGCUGGUGGGAUGGUCGUAUCCCAAACCCCAGCCUGAAAACCACACUUCUUAGGAGUAUGCUGCUGCCUCUCUGGCCCUCCGGCUCAGUGCAGAAGGCAGGGACCCCACCUGCAAACCCCCAAGGGUCUUGCAGGCCAGGGUCAGCCCUGACUUUCUCUCUCAGGUGGCCCUGGGAUGCCCGGCUGCCCCCCCACUCUGUGAUUUGUCCCUACUUGGCCAGCAGCUGCUGGAGAGGGCAUCCCUGAAUGUCCCUCACAGGCCAGUGCCUGCGCCCUGCUGUCCUGUGCCCCAGCACCCAUGUGUUCCCUGGAGCAAAGCCCUCUCCCUGCAGCCCAGCCCUGGCAUGGCCAGCAGCCUCCAGGGCCAGGGCACCUCAGGGCACCUGCAGCGCCAGCUGCCAGUCACCGUGGGGCUCCCAGGCAGAGGAUGCUAAGUCUCUCCAGACCUGUCACCUCUCGUCCUCCAGGAGAAAGACCUGCAGGAGUGAGAGGGAGUGAUGUGCCCCCAUGUCCACCUCUGCACCACUCCCGGGCAAAGUUGGCUGGCGUCAUCAGAACACUCCCGCAGCUUAGCAGGAGACCCCUGCCAUGAGGCCCUGGCCCUCCAGGAAACAGCCAGGGGGCAACAGCUUGAGAGGAAGGGAGAGAUGAUCACACCUGUCAGAUGUCCCUGAGCCACGGAGCCACUUGGGCAGCAGCAUCACGGGGUGGAGAGGUCUGCAGAGGGAACUGGAGGACAGGAGGCCGGGGCGGCUGCCCAUGUGCUCUCUGAAGGUGCUGAAGGAAGGGUCUGUUAGGCAGGGCCCAGCUGUGAGUGAGGGUGGGAGGGGCAGGAGGGCCUGGUGAGGCCCACUCUGAGCCCCUCCCCACCCUCCCCUUCCCAUUCUUAUUCUUCAAAACUAGAGACCGUUGGAGGCAGAGGAUGGUGGCCCUGGCGGUGGCUGCUGUCAAGAGAAACAGAGAUACUAGGUGUCCUUGAGGGAGCUGAGAGCUGGCCGCGCUCUGUUGGCGGAGUGUGAAUCGGGGCAGUUGCCGUGUGAAUCAGCAUGUGGGGUUUCUCCAAAAAUCAACAGAACUGUCCCCUGACCCAGGAACCCUCACUCAGUCUGCACCCCAAGAGCCAAAUCCAGGCCCUCACAGAGGUAAGGGCCCCUCAGCAGCACAGUGGCCAAGGGAGCAGCAACCCAGGAGCCCGCGGGUGGACACAGGCAGAAGUAGCUGUGAUGCGCACCGUGCGCUGGACGCUGCUGUCUUCUACAGCACUGCUGGCCUCGAGGACAUCAGCUAGAGAGUAAAGGCAAGGCCCUGGAGUCAAGGGACAGCGGGAGGAGGGAGGUCUCCCGGCACCAUGGGGGACGAGAGUUGGCGCUUCUUGGGGACAGAGUCUCAGUUCAGGAAGAUGGAAAGUUCUGGAGCAGGUGGGUGCUGGCUGCAGAGCAACUCACACCCCCGCAGCACUGAGAGGGGCUGGCACCAAGGUCUUCAUGCCCCUGACCCACCAAAACGCUGGGGAACGUCAGUUUCCAGGGGGCAGGGACAGUCCAGGCUGAAGACUGCUCUGCACAGAAGCAGCAGGACACCCGGGGGAGGCUGUGUGUGAGGCAAAGGCUCCCACUGGAGGCCUCCGCGGACCUGCAGGGGGAUUUGGUCUGCCUUUGGAAGGAGCGUGGAGUGUCCACCUGCACUCCUGGAGCAGGCCGCGGUGGCAGUGGAGGCCGGGAGACCCCGAGUGCUGGCUUGGCCCUUGCCCAGGCCUGCAAACUGCAGGAGCUCAGGGCCCCAAAGACCUGAGGAGGCCCAGCCGACAGCUGUUCUGAGCAGACAGCAGACGAGAGGCCAUGUCACCUCCCGCAGGUCCCAGAGGUGUUCCCACAGAAACAGGACUCGCAGAAGACAGAGGAGAGGAACCAGCUGGCUGCACCACGCAUGGCCCCCAGCAAGGUGCCCGACCCCUGAGCCCUCUGUUUUGGGGAAGGCAGUGUGGAAAGCACCCUCCAGCCCACUGGGGAGAAGGGCUUGGGUUCCUGGUUUCUCCCUGGGGGAGCAGACGGCUCCUGUGUCCUGGCCAGACCCACUCUGGCCCCGAGCCCACUAGGCGCAGGUGUCACCUGGGGUGGCACCUUGGCAGUGGGAAGGGUCCUGUGUCUCCUGGCGCCCUAGAGCAGUGCAGGUGGCUGGCAGUGCCAUGUAGGCACGAGGCCCCCCACUCAGGGCCCUGCUGUGGGAGUACUGGCGCUAGGCUGGCAGACCAGGCGUGGCUACAGGGCCUGCAGGGCGCACCCCCGGGUGGGUCCCAUGAUGCCACCUCAGAGACCAGCAAGUGCCUCGGAAUGGGUGACUCCCACGGAAACCAGGCAUAGGGAGGGCCAGGUGGCCUGGGCACCCUCCACUGUGGGGCAGCACCAGGGUCGGUCCUUCACUCCCAGGCUGGGGGACCCAUAGGUGGGCAUCCAGCUGCCUGAGACAGCCCAGGGCAGGGGCUGGUCAGGCCCUGGAAAGAGGGGUGGGGCAGGAGGGACCCAGACCACGUGAGCACAGCUCCCGACCCCGUCCUGGCCCUGUGGAGACGCCUGCCUGCUGGGGCCACCUGCAGGACGCGGAGGUCCGAUGGAGGCACCUAGUGGCUCCUCGUGCCCCAUCUGCUCUCCUGCCUGUCCCUCCUGGAGGACUGGGCUGGGCCAUUCCGGUGGCAGGGAGAGUGCCCAGUGGGGAGUACCCAGCGGGGAGAGGGCGGGCGGGAUCUCCUGCAGCAGGG